Molecule: long non-coding RNA, 252 nt
Filed under: Mytilus galloprovincialis (Mediterranean mussel)
Lineage: Eukaryota; Metazoa; Mollusca; Bivalvia; Mytilida; Mytilidae
Source: RNAcentral
GCUUGUGAUUAUAAUUGUAUUGAAGAAUUUGGUGUUCUAGCUGGUUUUUUUUGGAAGAUUUGAAGACUUGUAAGUAAACUCAUAUCAAGUAAUUGCAUGUAUAGAAAAGAUCAAUUUUGCAUUGUGUAUUUCAAUAACAUGGCCUCAUCUGAGUUCACUAUACAUGUAUCGGUGAAGUUUGUGUUGGUUUUUUUUUUUUGCAGCAGUUUAAUUGCAUACUUGUAGUUUGGUAAAUAACACAAUAUUAUUUGC